This 484-nucleotide ribosomal RNA is filed under the name uncultured bacterium. Its description in RNAcentral is "partial 16S ribosomal RNA". It matches the Rfam family "Bacterial small subunit ribosomal RNA", at positions 30 to 507 of the family's 1533-position model. The record is from RNAcentral.
AUUGAACGCUGGCGGCAGGCCUAACACAUGCAAGUCGAGCGGAAGAAGGGAGCUUGCUCCUGGAUUCAGCGGCGGACGGGUGAGUAAUGCCUAGGAAUCUGCCUGGUAGUGGGGGAUAACGUCCGGAAACGGGCGCUAAUACCGCAUACGUCCUGAGGGAGAAAGUGGGGGAUCUUCGGACCUCACGCUAUCAGAUGAGCCUAGGUCGGAUUAGCUAGUUGGUGGGGUAAAGGCCUACCAAGGCGACGAUCCGUAACUGGUCGGAGAGGAUGAUCAGUCACACUGGAGCUUGAACACGGUCCUGACUCCUACGGGAGGCAGCAGUGGGGAAUGUUGGACAAUGGGCGAAAGCCUGAUCCAGCCAUGCCGCGUGUGUUAAGAAGGUCUUCGGAUUGUAAAGCACUUUAAGUUGGGAGGAAGGGCAGUAAGUUAAUACCUUGCUGUUUUGACGUUACCAACAGAAUAAGCACCGGCUAACUUCGUG